GCUGAAUUUAAGCAUAUCACUAAGCGGAGGAAAAGAAACUUACCAGGAUUCCCCUAGUAACGGCGAGCGAACCGGGAAGAGCCCAGCAUGAAAAUCGGCGGCUUCGCCUGUCGAAUUGUAGUCUGUAGAAGCGUCCUCAGCGACGGACCGGGCCCAAGUCCCUUGGAAGGGGGCGCCGGAGAGGGUGAGAGCCCCGUCGGGCCCGGACCCUGCCGCACCACGAGGCGCUGUCGGCGAGUCGGGUUGUUUGGGAAUGCAGCCCUAAUCGGGUGGUAAAUUCCGUCCAAGGCUAAAUACGGGCGAGAGACCGAUAGCGAACAAGUACCGCGAGGGAAAGAGUGAAAAGGACUUUGAAAAGAGAGUUAAACAGUGCUUGAAAUUGCCGGGAGGGAAGCGGAUGGAGGCCGGCGAUGCGCCCCGGUCGGAUGCGGAACGGCGUGAGCCGGUCCGCCGCUCGGCUCGGGGGGCGUGCCAGCGCGGGCCGUUGCGGCGGCACAAGCGCGGCCUUCUGGCCGCACUGUACCUCCGUCGCGGCGGCCGAGGAGCGAAGCGCCGCGUACGGCGGGCCCUCGGGCACCUGCGCGCUCGUGGCGCUGGCCAGCGGGCUUUCCAUUCGACCCGUCUUGAAACACGGACCAAGGAA
RNAcentral lists this ribosomal RNA (643 nucleotides) under Taiwania cryptomerioides. RNAcentral's name for it is "eukaryotic LSU rRNA". It matches the Rfam family "Eukaryotic large subunit ribosomal RNA", at positions 27 to 673 of the family's 3401-position model. Lineage: Eukaryota; Viridiplantae; Streptophyta; Pinopsida; Cupressales; Cupressaceae. The record is from RNAcentral.